GUUCUUUCUCUGGUUUCUCUGUUUUCUCUCUCAAAUGACUGGGAUAUGGUUUACUUUCUUUGAGCUUGAUGUUUGAUUAAAUACACAAAAGCUUACUGCUCGUCCCACCAAUUGGCAUUUCGUUCAUCACUCAUGAAACGAGGUUUUGCCUGAUAAUUUCUUGAGUUCUUGCUCUGUUUUAUCUAUUUCAUUCCCCAUACUUUUGUCAUCCAUCUUGCCUGAUAAUUGUGAAAAUGCCUUGGACUGUGUAUCAUCCUUUGUGGACUAUGUAUCACCCCUUUGAGAAAACUUUGGCUGCUCCUAAUCUGGAAAUGAAUGUCACUUGAACUUAUUUGGACUGAAAAUAAGGGUUUGGUUGGCAUGGUCAUUGGUUUUCAUAUGAGCCCGGUUUCUGGAUUUGAGUAGAUAAUGUUGCUUUGCUCAUAGAGUUGCUUGGUCGCUCUGCUCAGAAAUAAUGACUGCCAUAGCAGGGCAUUAAUGCCUUCUUUCAGCUGUUGAUAAUUCUGGAUACAUAUUCGAGCCUCAAC
Molecule: long non-coding RNA, 527 nt
Filed under: Vitis vinifera (wine grape)
Lineage: Eukaryota; Viridiplantae; Streptophyta; Magnoliopsida; Vitales; Vitaceae
Description: long non-coding RNA (VVIN_LNC004669)
Source: RNAcentral